AAGGAUCAUUAAUGAAUUCACUAUGGAGUUGUUGCUGGCCUCUAGGGGCAUGUGCACGCUUCACUAGUCUUUCAACCACCUGUGAACUUUUGAUAGAUCUGUGAAGUCGUCUUUCAAGUCGUUAGACUUGGUUUGCUGGGAUGUAAACGUCUCGGUGUGACUACGCAGUCUAUUUACUUAUAACACCCCAAAUGUAUGUCUACGAAUGUCAUUUAAAGGGCCUUGUGCCUAUAAACCAUAAUACAACUUUCAACAACGGAUCUCUUGGCUCUCGCAUCGAUGAAGAACGCAGCGAAAUGCGAUAAGUAAUGUGAAUUGCAGAAUUCAGUGAAUCAUCGAAUCUUUGAACGCACCUUGCGCCCCUUGGUAUUCCGAGGGGCAUGCCUGUUUGAGUGUCAUUAAAUUCUCAAACUCACUCUGGUUUUUCCAAUUGUGAUGUUUGGAUUGUUGGGGGCUGCUGGCCUUGACAGGUCGGCUCCUCUUAAAUGCAUUAGCAGGACUUCUCAUUGCCUCUGCGCAUGAUGUGAUAAUUAUCGCUCAUCAAUAGCACGCAUGAAUAGAGUCUGGCUCUCUAACCGUCCGCAAGGACAAUUUGACAAUUUGACCUCAAAUCAGGUAGGACUACCCGCUGAACUUAA
This 638-nucleotide ribosomal RNA is filed under the name Pleurotus eryngii. RNAcentral's name for it is "eukaryotic LSU rRNA". The stretch from base 245 to 398 matches the Rfam family "5.8S ribosomal RNA". Lineage: Eukaryota; Fungi; Basidiomycota; Agaricomycetes; Agaricales; Pleurotaceae. The record is from RNAcentral.